RNAcentral lists this ribosomal RNA (489 nucleotides) under uncultured bacterium. Its description in RNAcentral is "bacterial SSU rRNA". It matches the Rfam family "Bacterial small subunit ribosomal RNA", at positions 29 to 507 of the family's 1533-position model. The record is from RNAcentral.
AUGAACGCUAGCUACAGGCUUAACACAUGCAAGUCGAGGGCAGCAUGAACAUAGCUUGCUAUGUUUGAUGGCGACCGGCGCACGGGUGCGUAACACGUAUCCAAUCUGCCCGUCACUCGGGGAUAGCCUUCUGAAAGGAAGAUUAAUACCCGAUGGGAUGCAUUUCCGGCAUCGGAGAUGCAUUAAAGAUUUUAUCGGUGACGAAUGAGGAUGCGUACGAUUAGCUAGUUGGCGGGGUAACGGCCCACCAAGGCUACGAUCGUUAGGGGUUCUGAGAGGAAGGUCCCCCACACUGGAACUGAGACACGGUCCAGACUCCUACGGGAGGCAGCAGUGAGGAAUAUUGGUCAAUGGGCGGGAGCCUGAACCAGCCAAGUAGCGUGAAGGAUGACUGCCCUACGGGUUGUAAACUUCUUUUGUUUGGGAAUAAAAGACGCUACGUGUAGCGUUGUGCAUGUACCUUACGAAUAAGCAUCGGCUAAUUCCGUG